Oncorhynchus tshawytscha (Chinook salmon) is the source of this 1197-nucleotide long non-coding RNA. The record is from Ensembl. NCBI's taxonomy places the organism in Eukaryota, Metazoa, Chordata, Actinopteri, Salmoniformes, Salmonidae.
GAGGUUCGGCUGACCGGGGUCGGCCCCGGGGGGGAGGUUCGGCUGACCGGGGUCGGCCCCGGGGGGGAGGUUCGGCUGACCGGGGUCGGCUCCUAGUACUUUUAUAUUAACUUCAGUCUGCCUUUUGAACUUCUUUGGACUUAAACAUGGACAAGUAAGGAGUUGGAGGACAAAGCAAAAGAAGAAGGAAAAAAAUAAUUCCAGAGCCACACAGUAUUAUCAUUCUUGCUGUUAUUGUUAUAAACAUUACCAUUAUUAUUAUUACUGUGUACAGUACUAUGUGUGUUUUAUUUUCAGAAGAGGAAAUGUUGCGUGUGUUUUUCCAUGUGUGUGCGAGAGGAAAAAGCAGAUAACAGAAACGUUUAUUAUUAUUAGCAUCCCCCUGUUUUAUAUCUUGGUUUUAUACUGAGUAUAUGUCAAGUGGCUUAAAGUCCCUUGUCCGAAAGCACUUGUGUAAAAACACAUUGGCAGCCUCAAAGAGACACUAUGGCUUUAAAACUACACAGACCUGACUAUUGGAAGCACUGUACAGCUCGGCUCCAUGAGAAAACCACCAUUUAAUAUUUCUGUUGACUCGUCACUUGUGUUUUCUCUGUGUCAUAGGUAUUAGUUAGAUUCUAGUUUUGGAAAAAUAGUCUUAACAGACUGGUGUUGUUUCAGAUGCAGUAAUCAUAACUAUCUGUGUUAGAUUAAGGACAACAAUGCAGGACUACAGUAAUGGCACAUGGGCCAUAAGAUGAGGAUAUGGAGUAUUAUCAAGAGUACCAGCAUUUGGUGUAUUAUGCCAGAAAUAUCCCACACUGUAACAACAAAUCAUGUUUACAGUAAAGUUUAGAGUAAUGUACCGUUAAACAAAAGUUUCUUUGGAAUUUAUGGUAACCUUUUUUACAGUAACUUACAGGUAACUAACUGGCUGCCAGUAAGUUACCGUAAAAACAACAGGAUAUAUAUAUAUAUUUUUUUUACAGUGCACAAUGUACUUAAAACCAACAAACCUGUAAUUGUGGGUUAGUUACUGGUUCAAGUGUUAGGAUGAACAGUUGCUGGAGACUAGCCGGGUUACCUGACUGUUUCUGUAUUCACAAGACCAACCUUCACAAGACUAACCUUCACAAGACUAACCUUCAGAAGACUAGCCGGGUUACCUGACUGUUUCUGUAUUCACAAGACUAACCUUCACAAGACUAGCCGGGUUAC